UAAGGAAUAUUGGUCAAUGGAGGCAACUCUGAACCAGCCAUGCCGCGUGAAGGAUUAAGGCCCUCUGGGUUGUAAACUUCUUUUAUAUGGGAAGAAAUGUUCUGAUUCUUCAGAGCUUGACGGUACCAUAGGAAUAAGCACCGGCUAACUCCGUGCCAGCAGCCGCGGUAAUACGGAGGGUGCAAGCGUUAUCCGGAUUCACUGGGUUUAAAGGGUGCGUAGGUGGGCAGAUAAGUCAGUGGUGAAAUCUUCCGGCUUAACCUGAAAAUUGCCGUUGAUACUAUUUGUCUUGAAUAUUGUGGAGGUAAGCGGAAUAUGUCAUGUAGCGGUGAAAUGCUUAGAUAUGACAUAGAACACCAAUUGCGAAGGCAGCUUACUAUAUAAUUAUUGACACUGAGGCACGAAAGCGUGGGUAGCGAACA
RNAcentral lists this ribosomal RNA (422 nucleotides) under uncultured bacterium. Its description in RNAcentral is "bacterial SSU rRNA". It matches the Rfam family "Bacterial small subunit ribosomal RNA", at positions 355 to 774 of the family's 1533-position model. The record is from RNAcentral.